AUCUUCCAUCACCGUAAGCUCAAUAGCUUGAACUCAGUAUUUCGUUUCUUACUGUUGAAGUAUAUUUUCAAAAUUCCUAAAGUAAUCAGGAAAGAAAUAGUCGAUAUCGUUGAAUGGGACUGCGAAGGGAUCACUGUAUGGUAUGAACGUGUCCCUUGGAUCGAAUGUCCCACCGUACCUAUUGCCUGCCGUGUCCUGAUAGCUGUAGACACCUACGCCUUGCGACGCUGGGUAUGCUGAAAUGAAAAAAAAACAUUGGAUUAAUAAUACACUGAUCAAUAUAAUUUUCGUCAUUACGUCACGGUCUUCACACUGUAUAUACAGAACCUGGAUAAAAUAUUCGGG
Molecule: long non-coding RNA, 345 nt
Organism: Vanessa tameamea
Lineage: Eukaryota; Metazoa; Arthropoda; Insecta; Lepidoptera; Nymphalidae
Exons: 2
Source: RefSeq, a predicted model, not a curated record